RNAcentral lists this ribosomal RNA (492 nucleotides) under uncultured bacterium. Its description in RNAcentral is "partial 16S ribosomal RNA". It matches the Rfam family "Bacterial small subunit ribosomal RNA", at positions 28 to 507 of the family's 1533-position model. The record is from RNAcentral.
GAUGAACGCUAGCUAUAGGCUUAACACAUGCAAGUCGAGGGGAAACGGCAUUAUGUGCUUGCACAUUUUGGACGUCGACCGGCGCACGGGUGAGUAUCGCGUAUCCAACCUGCCCUUUACUUGGGGAUACCCCGUUGAAAGACGGCCUAAUACCCGAUGUAAUUCAUUGAUGGCAUCAGAUAUGAAUAAAAGAUUUAUCGGUAAAGGAUGGGGAUGCGUCUGAUUAGCUUGUUGGUGAGGUAACGGCUCACCAAGGCGACGAUCAGUAGGGGUUCUGAGAGGAAGGUCCCCCACAUUGGAACUGAGACACGGUCCAAACUCCUACGGGAGGCAGCAGUGAGGAAUAUUGGUCAAUGGGCGCAAGCCUGAACCAGCCAAGUAGCGUGCAGGAAGACGGCCCUAUGGGUUGUAAACUGCUUUUAUACGAGAAUAAUUUGAUGCACGUGCGCGUUAUUGCAUGUAUCGUAUGAAUAAGGACCGGCUAAUUCCGUG